RNAcentral lists this ribosomal RNA (493 nucleotides) under uncultured bacterium. Its description in RNAcentral is "bacterial SSU rRNA". It matches the Rfam family "Bacterial small subunit ribosomal RNA", at positions 28 to 507 of the family's 1533-position model. The record is from RNAcentral.
GAUGAACGCUAGCUACAGGCUUAACACAUGCAAGUCGAGGGGAAACGACAUCGAAAGCUUGCUUUUGGUGGGCGUCGACCGGCGCACGGGUGAGUAACGCGUAUCCAACCUGCCCACCACUUGGGGAUAACCUUGCGAAAGUAAGACUAAUACCCAAUGAUAUCCCACGAAGGCAUCCGAAUGGGAUUAAAGAUUUAUCGGUGAUGGAUGGGGAUGCGUCUGAUUAGCUUGUUGGCGGGGUAACGGCCCACCAAGGCAACGAUCAGUAGGGGUUCUGAGAGGAAGGUCCCCCACAUUGGAACUGAGACACGGUCCAAACUCCUACGGGAGGCAGCAGUGAGGAAUAUUGGUCAAUGGACGGAAGUCUGAACCAGCCAAAGUAGCGUGCAGGACGACGGCCCUAUGGGUUGUAAACUGCUUUUAUAAGGGAAUAAAGUGAGCCUCGUGAGGCUUUUUGCAUGUACCUUAUGAAUAAGGACCGGCUAAUUCCGUG